RNAcentral lists this ribosomal RNA (2418 nucleotides) under Triticum aestivum (bread wheat). RNAcentral's name for it is "partial small subunit ribosomal RNA". Lineage: Eukaryota; Viridiplantae; Streptophyta; Magnoliopsida; Poales; Poaceae. The record is from RNAcentral.
AUGGAUGAGCCUGUGGUGACAGAGAAGAAGAAAGAAGAGAAAUCGAAGCAAAAACUUGAAAAGGAAAAAGAAGCAGUGAAAGUAAAUGAGAAAGAUGGAGAUAAAGCAGCAGCAUAUGAUCAUGAAGAUGAGUUAUAUGAAUCAGAGGGUGAUGACUUGUGGGCACCAGAUUCUGAUGAUGAAGAGGUAUUCAUGAAGUUCAAGGCAUUCAGAACAGAGGAUCCUCAUUGUCCCAAGUUUCAUGUUGGUCAAGUUUUCCAAACUGUUGAGCUCUUGAGGAAAUCCAUCAAGGAGUACUGCUGCAAAAAUAGGGUAGAUGUGAAGUUGCCAGUGAAUGAUAAGAAAAGAGUGAAGGUAACAUGUGAUGAGGACUGUACUUGGUAUCUUUGGGCUUCAUAUGAUAGAAGGACCAAGUGUUUCAUGGUGAAGAAAUAUGUGGAUGAGCACACUUGUAACAAGAAGUGGAAGAUCAAGGCUUUCACAACACCAUUUCUAGCACAUAAGUAUCUUGAGAGCUUUAGAGCUGACCAAGACAUGAAUUUUAAAAACUUUUCUAGAGUUGUUCAAAAGGAGUGGCAUAUGACCCCAACCAGGACCAAGUUACAAAGAGCUAGGAGGCUAGCAAUGAAAAUAAUUUAUGGUGAUGAAGAAGGCCAAUACAACUUGCUUUGGGACUAUGGUAAUGAGUUGAGAAGAAGUAACCCUGGGAGCUCAUUCUUUGUUGCACUAGAUAGUCAUGCAAGGUUUAAUAAAGCCUAUCUGUGUCUAGAUGCAUGCAAAAGAGGGUUCUUGCAGGGAUGUAGGCCUAUGAUAUUCCUUGAUGGCUGUCAUAUCAGGACAAGGUACUUAGGACAGCUACUCAGUGUUGUUGGGAUAGACCCAAAUGAUUGUAUUUUUCCAAUUGCAGUAGCUGUAGUUGAAGUGGAAGACAAGCCUAAUUGGUGCUGGUUCCUUGAAAGACUAAAGAAUGAUCUUGCCAUAUUUAAUACUGCUCCAUGGACCAUUAUGUCAAACAAACAAAAGGGCCUUAUCAAUGUUGUGGAUGAGUUAUUUCUAGAGUCGGAACACAGGUUCUAUGUCAGGCACAUGUGGCAGAACUUUCAACAACAAUUCAAAGGGGAUGUUCUUAAGAAUCAACUUUGGAAGAUAGCAAGAAGUACCACUUCUGUCAAGUAUGAGCAGUACAUGGCUGAGAUGAAGGACAUCAGCUUGGAUGCUUACAAGUGGUUGCAUGAGUUGGAACCAUACACAUGGGUUAGAUCAUUUCAAAGUGAUCUUCCAAAGUGUGAUAUAUUUCUCAACAAUAACUGUGAAGUUUUCAACAAGUACAUAUUAGAUGCUAGAGAGCUAUCUAUACUUUCUAUGCUAGAAAGGAUCAAAGGCCAACUGAUGCAGAGGCACUACAUCAAACAACUUCAGGCAGAGAAGAUGAAAGGAAAUUUUUGUCCAAAGAUCAAGAAAAAGGUGGAGAAGCUAACUGAUUGGGCAAACCUAUGCUAUGUGGAUGGAGCUCGAGAUGGGGUGUUCCAGGUAGGGGACAGGUGUGUGAACUACCUUGUGGACUGGCACACCAAUGAAUGCAGCUGUAAGAGGUGGCAGAAGGGUGGCACACCUUGUGUACAUGCCAUAGAAUGUGCUAGACAUGAAAGAGUUGACCCUCUUUCAUUGGUUAACCAAUGUUAUUCUGUGAGCAUGUUCAAAAUGGCAUACAAGAACAUAAUCUAUCCAUGUAGAGACAUGACAGAAUGGGAGAACAUGAAUGGGCCACCACUUCUGCCACCAUUGUACAUCAAGCAAGUAGGCAGGCCAUGCAAGAGCGGAAGAAAAGAACCAGGUGAAGUAAUCUGCAGUAAUGGUGGCAAGAAAAUGUCUAGGCAUGGUGUCAUCAUGCACUGCAAAAACUGUGGAGAGGCAGAUCACAACACUAAAGGAUGCAAGUACCUCAAGGCAGGAGUACCUCCUCCAAAUAUGCAGGCAGCAUCAGCACCACAAGAAAAUCAUGAAGCAACAUCACCACCUGAGCAACAUGUGCAAGAUGAAGAUCCUGUCAUUACUCAGGAACACAACCCUGCAGAAAAUCCUAUCAUAGAAGAUCUUAUGGUUGAUCAAAUGAUAGAAAGGAGGCAUGUGCCAAGAGUGAUUGCACAAGGACCUGUUCUAGAGUCUACAUUCCUUUCUAUUGCUCAAUCAAAACCAAGGGAGCACAAGCACCAUUUAGCAAGGAGAGAUGCCCAAGAAGUUACUUGCAUUAAAAAAGCAGAGAGACAAAGACAUAGAAGACAAGAAAAAUGCUAUACUUGCAGCAUGGAGAGAAGAACAAGAAAAGAAGGCUCAAGAAGCUGCCAAGAAGAGACAUCUACAAGAGGAGAAGAAAACAACAGAGGCAGAGAGGAAGAGACAGGCAGCUGCUCAGAAUAG